UACGUAGGGUGCAAGCGUUAAUCGGAAUUACUGGGCGUAAAGCGUGCGCAGGCGGUUUUGUAAGUCUGUCGUGAAAGCCCCGGGCUCAACCUGGGAAUGGCGAUGGAGACUGCAAGGCUAGAAUCUGGCAGAGGGGGGUAGAAUUCCACGUGUAGCAGUGAAAUGCGUAGAGAUGUGGAGGAACACCGAUGGCGAAGGCAGCCCCCUGGGUCAAGAUUGACGCUCAUGCACGAAAGCGUGGGGAGCGAACAGG
Molecule: ribosomal RNA, 253 nt
Filed under: uncultured bacterium
Lineage: Bacteria
Description: partial 16S ribosomal RNA
Rfam family: Bacterial small subunit ribosomal RNA
Source: RNAcentral